Molecule: long non-coding RNA, 32836 nt
Filed under: Vitis vinifera (wine grape)
Lineage: Eukaryota; Viridiplantae; Streptophyta; Magnoliopsida; Vitales; Vitaceae
Description: long non-coding RNA (VVIN_LNC007471)
Source: RNAcentral
AUCAAAUUACCUUUGCAAUUCAAGCUCAAUUCUCUAAUUCACCAUAGAUCUUACCUCUAGAUCCUCCCUCCUCCAAGAAAAACGAGAUUUAGCCACUCAUGCUUGGAGAUUUGAUCUCACAAGACAUGUUUGGCUACCGAGAAAAUAAGAGAAACUGAAAGAAAGUGGAGAAUUGUAUAUAGAGGGAAGAAGUAUGAAAAGUUAUCACAAUUAGAAAAUGAAUCCAAAGUCUUUAAAUGAGAAAAUCUCGUUUCUAUUUAUAGGCCAAGGUAAAAAGGACACUUGGCAACCUUUUAGAGGUCUUCCGGAUGCUUCUUCAUCAAGGAAUCUGGAGAGGAUGCACUUUCGCACGAGCCCCUAGUGAUCUCGCAUGAUGGUGCGAAGUGGAGAACCAAUCAGUUGGAAUUUCGUUCUUCUGGAGCGUUUCGCAUGACUGUGCGAAAAUUUCGCAUGGUCAUGCGAAAUCACUUCUUCACAAUUUCCUCAUGUGCUGCAGCCACACCCUCUCUGUUUCAUUUCGCAUGACUGUGCGAAAAUUUCGCAUGGUCAUGCGAAAUCGAAAAUCAUGCUAUUUCGGCUCCUCUUUGCAAAUUCUCUCAUUUGCUCAUGUUUAAUCCAUCUCCACCACCUUCAAUUAAGCUCCAAAGCCCAAUCUAAACUGAUUGCAUUGCUUCUUUCAUUAUGCAUUUGGAUCAUCAUCAACUUUAUUUGUUUUCUUCAAUUUGAUUAAUCUCUUUUGUCACCAAUUUAUCAAAAUUAUACCUUGAAAUGACUCCAAAACUUCAUAAAACUUGUUAGUAACUCUUGCAAGGGAAAAAACAUGUUAAUUGAGUGUUUUAGGCAUAAUUACUACUCAAAAGAUGUGAAAAUCAUGAGAAUUAUUAUCUAAAAUAUGCUCUUUUUGAGUAGUAAUCAGUGAAUUUACAAUAAUGAUAAUCAAAUUUUUUUCUAUAAAUACUCACCGGGCACCAUGGUUGACCUUAUUACAACCGCCGCUUGAUCACCAAAUCCUCUCUUUACAUCUCGAAAAAGUACAAGUUAUGUAUUCAACAUUUAAUUUGUUAAUAUCAUAUUGUUAGUAAACGUUUAAAUAAAUUGAUGAAUGAAAUUAUUGUUUUAUUAAAUUGAGUAAAAUAACAGUUUUUUAUUUACCUCAUUUCCAAAUUGACCAAGCAAUUCAGUAGUUAGGUUUAAUCUCCAACUCCUUAACAAAUGAGGUUAUCUUUCAUCAUGUCCAUAAGCUUGUACACAAACGGCAUUGUGGGAACAACUUCAGAAUCUAUAAGUUGUAGCACCACGUAUAAUGGUUCAUAUAAUGAAACUAUAUUUGUCACUUUGUCCCAAUUCGAAUGGUCAAACAUUAAUUGCUCCAAAUCUCAUCCAACUUUUGUCCAACUAAGAUUGUGUUGUACCCAUGCAUCACUCGUAAACAAUCUUUUCAAAUAUGCCCCUUCUUUAAGAAGACUGACAAGAGCAAUAUAAUUGGUUACAGACCUUGUAGCUCCCGAUCAAACAAUGUCUCUACCAUAAUACUUUCUCAUUUGUGCAAGUAACCAACCAUAGUUGUAAAUGAAGUUGGUUAUGUUGCGAGCAUUGUUUAUCACAUCUGCAACACUAGGUCUUUUGUCAAUGUCUUCAAAGAUUAAGUUGAUGUAGUGUGUUGCAUAUGGAGUCCAAUAUAAAUUAAACUUCUUCAUCAAUAGUUUCUCUACCUUCAUGAACGCCUACUCGUUAUCUGUGACAAUUUGGACCACAUUUUCUUGGUCGACUUCUUUGAUAAUAGUCUUCAAUAACUUAUAUAUAUACUUGUGGUCUUUGAUAUUGUUUGAUGAAUCGACUAACUUAAGGAACACUGUGGUCCCUUUUGAAUAGACCCUGAAAUUAAUAAUACUUAAUUUCAUGGGCCUUAUCCAUCCAUCUGACAUUAUUGUGCAUCCAUAUGUCUUCCAUUUUUCUCUUUAUUAGUUCACAUAAGCUUCCAUUUUUUUGUACUCCAUUUCUAAGUACUUAUUCUUUGUUUCACAUGGAGAUGAAGGUUUGAUUCUCAUUCCUGCAAUUCAUAUAUAAGAAAUAUUUAAAACGUAUCACAAAAAACUAUACUUACUAAAAGUCUAAAACAAUAUAACAAUUAAAAAAUUAGUAAUUACAUGCUUGUUGUGCAUUGAUAAUCAUAUUCUUGAAGUGACGAGAGUUUGCUUUUUGGAGUAUAACACUCUCAUAAAUGAAGAAUUUGCUUAUUAAGCAUCCUAUUGUUUCUUUAAUUGAAUCACCCUUGAAUAUAUCUUUGAUAUUUUUUUUGUUUUGCUGCAAAAGACUUAUAAAGCAAAAGGGCAAUAGGCACUGAUUGGUCUGAAUCACAAUAUAUCAUCGAAAUAUUGGGAUAUUUUCAUCCCUAGGUGUGGGUAGUCCUCCAUAAGUAUAUGUGAUCCCCAGGCUUGAGUUGCCCUAUGUUGAUCUUGUUUGAAAGCACCCCCAUCUCUUUUUCUAUAAUCGGGGAUGGUGAAAUCCCUCUCAAAUCUCAGUCAAGUGAAUGAAUUGAAACCUAUGAGUGUUUAUCUAGGUUGGCAAUUCCGAACAAAAUAAAUGAAUUGAAAAUAACACCCUUUUACAUAAUUUAAAAUAUUUAAAAAAAAAACAUCAUUUAAAAGUUUUCUUUAGAACUAAAUAAUAAGAUUAAAAAAUUAUAUUUACUUAAUAAAUAAAAAUUAAUCUUCAAGAGACCAAAAAAAUUAAUGAAAAUAUAAGGAUAAAAAAAUAUUAUAAUAUUAUUUCCUAUACCAAGUAAAUCAAAAUAUCUCCUUUUGGAUCAAUUGAAAUCCCACGUAAUUCAUUCCUUCCAAAAUCAUUUUUUAUUCCACUUCCAUUAUUGUCAUUAAAUGAAUGACAACAAAAUAGAAAGAAUGAGACGUUGAUUUCUAGACUUGGUUACCGCGUACCAAACAUUGCUCAAUAAAAGAAGAUAGGUCAAAGGUGGUUAGAAAAUGGGAUGGGAAGAUGGAGUUGGGAUGGUUUUCUUUCCAUUAUCUUCACGAACAACAGCGCAAGUCACGUAGAAGUUUCUAGGAAAUCAUGGCGUCAAUAAUUAUAUUCUAAACGUUCUAAUAAUAAGGUUGACUACAAUCUACAGACACCUCUGACACGUACAAAACCUUCUCAAAACAAAAAUACUUUAAUCCAUUCAAAUAGAUUCCUGGAGGGGAUUUAGGAGCUUAGGACAAAAAAGGUUGCCACGCCCCCUCCCUUACUCCAGGAAACAUUGCCCACCUCCUCUCUUCAUGACUGCUACAAAAACUACUGUAAACCUUCAAAGGUUAGGGCAGAAAGUCAAGUAGAAUCCCCCUCUGCUCAAGAAGGAAAACGUCUCACUUCUAAACAAAAAAUAAGUUCAAUUACACAUCCAAAAACAUAGACUACUACAAUUUUGAGUUAUCCUCCGGCUUUUCUUCUUCCCUUUCUGGUGAAGUUGUAUGUUGCAGUAAUGGAGGUCUCUCCUAGGUGUUGUAAGGUGAAAAGGGUUGAACUUGGCAUGCCUCUUCUGUUCCAAACUUGUCCCGUUCCUUAGAUCUUAGCUCAUGUAGGCAUCAUUCAAGUUUUUGCAAUCUAGGCAUGUCCCAUCCAAUUGUAACUCUAGCUCCUGUCAUGAGAUUGGAGGUUCCCUCCUCAACUGCCCACUGCAGCCGAACAAGGAUGGCCGUGAGCUACUGAAUAGCUCCUCAGGCUUCGUCUAGCACAGCGAUUUAUUGACUCUGAAGAGACAGUAAGUCCUAUACAAGAAUGGUGGUUACUUUAAAGCAAACUGAUAAACCAUGGAGGAGAAGAAUAUUUUCUUAAUUGAAUAAAUCAUCAUACUUUUGUAUGCCCAAAUAUAAAAAGAGAUAAGAGGACGCCCUAACAUCUCCACAAUAGACACAGAAUAAUCGAUCUAUAUUGUAAGAAAUUGAGCACUAUUCAAGACCUGUAAAAAACAUAUAUCCCUUUGAAGGAUUUGUAAAGGCACAUGUGAUCAAGGACAGUUUUCCAAUUAAUCUUGACAGCUUUUGACAGGAACAAUCCACAUUACAAUGAGGACCAGAUUUUCCACAUCUAUGAAACAACAGGACAAACAUUAGUCUUCCAUCGCCAUCUCAGUUAUGGAGUCUUCCUUGGUCGUAUUAGUUAUACCCUGCUCAUCUAAGCCAGAAUAGGUGACAAGUCUCUCAACAGACACUUUAAUCACAUCUCGUCGCACUGCAACAUCAGAAACUAACCGACUAACAGAAAACAUAGCCCAACCUAUUACUGCUAGACCAGUAAAGCCUGUAGUUAGAAAUCUAAGCGGCGAAGAAAUGAUAGCGCUGGCAAUAGCAAACAAGGCCACUGCCUGCCCACUCAGGCCCACACUGGUGUUAGUGAACACAAGCAAACCUGUCUUACAGUAGACUGCAAAAUCCUCGCAGUUGUUUUUGAAAAUCUGAUAGACACCAAAUCCAUGCUGGAGGAGGAAGGAGGCACGGUGAAUGACAUCUGCUGGUGGGUCAGAUGCGGCAAGGGUACAGGUUCCUCCUCGAAACUUGGCAAUAAAAAAUGCCAGUGAGACAUCAUAUCGAAAGAGGUAGAGAUCGCCAUCAGCAAGGAAACAGUCAAGACAGGUAGAGAUGACACCACCUCUAAGCCUUAAAUGAUAGCCACAUCUUGGGCAUGGAGUGUCCGAAGAAUGAGAAGGAACUGAUACGAAAAAGGCACGAUCUAACUCAGUUCCAGUACCAAUCUCCUGACCUGAUGCUCGAGUGAAGUGGAUCACCAUUCCUUCACCGGUGUAUAUCCCUGUUCUCAUGUGGCAGAUGCAGUGUGGUCAAGUAUUCAGUUGAAAAUUCUUGAGCCUAUCAAGAUAUUCAAGGGGACCUUGAAAAGAAUAAUAAAGAGAGAGAAUAAGAAAAAGGAUGCCAAUUGGCUAGGCCUAAAUUCAAACUCAUUAUCUCCAAAUAACUAGGGCUCGGAUAUAAUGUCAAGUUAACAAUUUGAUCCAAAAGCUUAUAUUGUAAGGAAUGGCGGGGCAAGUUGAUUUAAGUUAAAAUUCUGACAUGUAAUGAUUGGCAUUCAUUUAACAUUGUGAAAUUGUGACCCUUGUAUACUUUUCCAUCGGUAUUUCUUCCAAGAUCUCAUGAAUGCAUUUGUUCAUAUACACAAAGUUUCUAAUCCACACACUCAUUUAUGUCAAUUAUUAUCUUACCCAUAUGUAAAUCAUGGGCAUGUUACCUUCUCACUAGAAAACAAUUUGUGCCAAUUAACUUGGUAGGACAGAUAAUAGCCUCAUGGCACAGGUUAGGCCUCAUGGUAGUUUAUGCAACAAUGAACAUCCCCAUUGUUCUUGCAAAGCAUGAAAAGGCAAACUAGCUCAUUCAUAGAAUCCAUUAGAGACAUCAAAAGGCAUUCCAGAUAAAAGGGCAUAAAUUGCAAAAAGAAGAAGAAUGCCAAAACACAGUAUUUAAGAUGACUCAGCUGAUGAUAUAAUCAUUCAAAGUGCCCAGAUUAAAAGCAUCAUUUUCACCAAAAAAAAAAAAAUUCUGAAUGAGUCCCUUGAGGAAAACUUGUUCAAAUGGAACACCACAGGGUGACCCAAAAAAAAAUAUUGUUUGUUUCUAGGAAAAAUGUCAAGCUGCAAAGCUUGCUAGAGAAGUAUAGGUAAGGUUGGAUUUAUGAUCCUAUCAAUUGCAUCUUUCUCCAUAUCUCUAACAAAGAGCAAAGAUUAGGUAAAAACAGUGGGUUACCAAGGCAAAAAUCAUGACAAAAAAUUGUCUUAGCUGGAGAAAAACUCUCUGGGACAUUGAUGAAACAAACACAAUCCAAGGUUUCCUUUGAGAUAUCAGAACUGUAAGGCAAGGGAUGAGAUAAAGGAAAAAGGAUAUCAUUUUAGCAGCAUCAAAAAAUGAUUCCUCCUAUCCCUGGCAUUUUUUAAUAUUUUUGUUCCUUAAGCAACCAUCAGGAGAAGCAAAAUACACCUGUAAACUGAUUAAUAAAUUUGAUGAAAUAGCAAAUAAUGAAGAAAAAACAAUUGGAAAGCAAUAGUCAUACUUCUAAUCCUCAAAUCUAUAAACAAAAGAAGAACACCAUUUGAUCCAUCCAUCAGCUGAAAAAAAACAAAUAUAUUGUAAUAAAUUGCAUCAUAGAGGGAUUUUACCACGAAUCAUUUGAUUCUGAUUUGAGUCCCAAAUGAAACAUAAAAGAUUUUAUUUAUGAAUUCUUUUAAACAAACAAUGCAUUGAAUCCAGAAAAUUCUGGCUCCUUUCCAAAAGGAAGAGAAUAAGUAAUGGGCCCACUUCAAUGUCUCAAAUAAACAGGGGAGACUUGAUAGCUAUGGUGUAAUAAUCAAGCAAAUAUAGAAUUACUAAAACCUAAUCCAGAAAAUAUGAACUGGGUUUCUCUGACAAGCCCACAAUAGUUAAGCAGAAGGAAGAUUCAUGAUAUGGAUCUCCCAUAAGAGUGUUUGGCGGUCAGAAUAAACCAGAGAAUCAGUCAAUCCACACUCACCCACAAAUUAAACAUCUAAUCUAUGUAUGUUGCUGAAUAAUAGCAAAAACAGAAAGCAUGAAUCAAGCACCGUUUGGUUGCCGAGAAAGAGAAGGAAAAUGAAAAGAAAAGGAGGUUGUCACACACCAUGAUGCGCAUAGAUGUGAGCAGUCCGCCAUGAGUAUAUGUGAUCCCCAGGCUUGAGUUGCUCUCUGCUGAUCUUGUCUGAAAGCACCCCCAUCUCUCUUUCUGUAAGUGGGGAUGAUGAAAUCUCUCUCAAAUCUCAGUCAAGUGAAUGAAUUGAAACAACUGAAACCCAAAGUUGUGAAUGCACUCCUCCCUUGCCCUUGAGGCUUUCUUACACUCUCCCAGAUAAAAUUUGAAUAUAAAGCACUUUGAGAAGUAUAAAAUGUCCGUUGGAACUAGCAAUGGGAAAAUGCUCAAUGUAUAGGAUGAUGGGCAAGUUGUGAACGCAAUCCUUUUCCAGCUUUUUCCCCUAUAUUUAAGUGUUUUUGACCCACUGAAUCGGACUUGCAAUGGAAGAUUCUUUCUCUUUGGUGUAAAUAUUAAAAGCUCUGUUUUGAGUAGAUUCACAAAGUCCUCAUACCCAUUUAUAAAAAAAAAUAAAUACAUAAUACACUGAAUAUUAAAAUGAAAAAUUAUUGUAAUAUUAAAGGCAUUUUUGAAUAGAACCACGAGCUCCUCACGUCCACUUAGGAAAAAGCACUUCUGAUAGUAAAAGCAUUUUUGAAAAGCCAUUCUCCAACCCUAACUAAAGCUAUUAGUCAAAUCAAACUUGGCUGUCCUCGUAAAUAAAUAAGAUGUCGGUGAACAUGAAGAAAGGAAAAUAAAUAUAUAUUUGAAAGUAAUUUUAAGAAUAUUAGAAAUAUUUUUAAAAAGUUUUUUAGUUAACACUUGACCUGAAGCUUUUUUUUUUUUUUUUUGAAAAUAUUAAAUAAAAGUAUGAUUAAGAAUUAUAUGAUUUAUAUUCAAAUAUUAAAAUGGUGUUUGAUUUUUUUAUUGAAUUGAAAUAAACAAUAAAAGAAAUUAAAGUAUUUAACUUUUUCCAUUUAAUUAAACCAUAUUGAUUUUAACUUAUAUAUUUAAAAUAAAUUUGUUAUUAAUUGGUUCAAUUUAAUUAUCUUGAUAUCAAUAAAUUAUUUUUAAUUAAAUAAAAAAUUAAAUAUUUUAAUUUUUUUAUUCAACAAAAACACAAAUACCAUCAAACUAGUUUUGAUAAAGCUUUACAUAUUUUUAUAAUCAUUCUCAAAUGGGUACUAUUUAUUUUUAAAAAAUAAUUAGAGUUUUAUGAUAAGAUCAUAUACAUGAUAAAUUUUUAGUAUCUUAUGAAAAAUAUAAAAGAAAAAUAUUUUGAAGGAAUUUUUAGUAGUGAUAAUAAGGGAUAACAACGUUGUGGUUUCAAGGAGUGUCACCCGGUCCCAAUUAUUAAACCAUAGUCUCAUCCAUGUUUCAAAAGAAUAAUUAAACAAGAUAAGGUGGAGCACGUGGGUGUAUAAGAAAUGGCUAUCCCACCUCGUUUAGUUUUUUUCUAAUAUUUAAAAUUUAAAUUUUUUUCAAAAAUAUAUCAUAUUUAUAAUUUAUUGUUGUGGCAAAUAAAGAGGAAGAAGAAGAAUGAAGAAAAACUAAUUGAUUGUUUGGUAAUUAUUUUUAAAAAUAUUUUUUUAUUCUUCGAAAAAUAUAUAUAUAUAUAUAUAUAUAUGAUAAUCAAAAACUAUUUUUUAUUUUUUGUACUAAAAAAAAUAGAAAAUAUGACAUUUUCAAAUAACAUCUUUUAAUUAUUUUCUAGAAGUUGUUUAAAAAAAUAAUUAUAUAAGUAUGUAGAAUGAUUAAAAAUAAAACAUUAAAUAUAAAAAUUAUUUUUAAAACAUAUUUAAAAAUAUUAAAAACAUGUUAAAAAUAUUUUAAAUUUCUAAAUAGACUUUUGUUUUUACAAAAUAUCAUAAAAUACUUUUCAAAAACUAUUCUCAAAAACUAUUUUUUAGAACUAUUUUCGAAAAUAAUUACCAAAUAAUGCCUAAGAUAUUUUAAAAGGUUUGUAGGGAAGACAAAAAAACAAAAAAACAAAAAAAAACUCAUAAUUAAUUAAAAAUAACCCUUGAGAAAAUGGGUAAGAAAAUGAAAACAGUGAGAAAUAAAUUGUAAAAGAAAAUUAGUUGGACAAAGAUGACUGUGUUUAUUUUUUUAUUAUAUUCCAUAAAAUUUUCAAAAUAAUGAGAUAUUUGAUCUAAAACUUUCAAGAAAAUAAUUUAAUAGGCACAAGAAUUUACUUAACAUAAAAAAUAAUUUAAAAAAAAAAAAAGCUUUUCUUCUUUGUAAGUUAAACCAAAUAAAGCUUCAGGAUUGAAAUAUUUUUCUUCUAUUUAUUUUUUUAACUAGAUAAAUUCAUGGCUAUUUUCUUGAUUGGCUUUUCAUUCAUCUAGUUUUUCAUCAAAUUACUUAGUAAAAACUUCAUCAAUUUUAUAUGGCAAUUAAAAAUAACAAUUAUAUUUUAAAUUUCAUACAUAUAAGACAUUUUCAUAUCAAUUUUAUAUUUUAAGUUGAGAAUAAAAACCAUAUAAGACAUUUUAUUAAAAUUUGAAUUAACAAAAAUGACUUCUCCUAAACUCAUUCAAAUGAAGCCAAAAUAUUUGUUAUGUCAAGUUUGUUCUCUCCCUCUUAAGAUAGAAGCUUUAUGGAAGUAUAUCUUGUGUCACCUCGUACACCACCUCAUCUUUUCAUUUAUCUCUAACAACAAUUAUUGAAUGAAAUUGUAAAGAAUUCACCAAAAUGAUUUAAUGAUUUAAAUAAAUGGAGUUCCCAAGAGAAUGAACUCUGGGAAGGUAGAUUAUAAAUUAGUAUAAUAAAAUAUGAUAAAGUCGUCAAAAUGAAGGAAUAUGUUAAAAAAAAAAAAAAAAGAUUUCUACUUCUCCCAAAUUAUUUUUGUUUUUUACAAUACAACAAUCAAAUCUCGAUUCUUAGAUUUUUCGAACAAAACAUUAAGGUGAUGUUUGUUUUUUUACUUAAUUCUAAAUAGAACCUUAAUACUUAAUAGUAUUAAAUAUUAAAUUGUUUGUUUUUGUUAUAUUUUAUUUCUAUUAAGUAUUAAAAAGUAAAAAAAAAAAAAACCAUUGUGUUAUUUUUUCUAUUUAGAAAAAAUCACAUAUUUUGGUUUUUUCUCUUUAGUAAAAAGUUUAUAAUAAGUCAUGAAAAAGUAAAAAAACAAACAACCUAAAUUCUAAAACUAAAUGGUUUUCAGCAAAAAACCAAAAAAACAAACACCACCUAAAUCCGCGUUUGAGUUCAUAUUGGAAUAUCGAUUCAACUGAAGAGUAAACCUAUUUAUUUAUGGUUCUAAGACUAGUAGUUCUAAUGGUCAACUCAGUUCUUUCAAAUUGUUUCUCAUUAUUAAGAAAAGAUAACAAAGAUAAAAUACAAACUUGUUUUAUAGUAAUAGUAAUUAAUCGUUGUUGUUUCAAAGUUAAUCUAUUCACUCGUCUAGAUAAUAUUUUUCCUUGUUCACUAAUUAAACUCAUGUUUCUAUAAUCAAUUUGAUCCCUGAUCCAAUGGGGGCAAAAGCCUACGAAAAGAUCGCUUGGAUUUACUGAAGCGGAAUUAAUCGAGUGAAAAUAAAUCCAGCCUCAGGGGCUGUUUUCCAUGUCCUAUUUUCACAUCAUUGUAAUAUUUUCAUAAAAACCGGCCUUUUUCAAUCAUAAAUUUUUUGUAUCUCCUGCCUCAUUUUUUCUGACAUGACAACCACGUGAAGGAGAGGGGUCUCUGCUCUAUCUCAAUGUCUCGUCAAUUAGAACAUGUCUUUUCUUCUGCUUUUUUCUGUUUUUGUUUUAAUUUUUUUUUCUUGUUGGUGUUUUUUUUUUAAAUACUUUUUUCUCAGUGUUUUUGGUUACUUUUCAUCUGUCUAAUUUCAAUCAAAUUGCUUGAUAAAAACUUUGUUCUAAAUUACUUGAUAAUCUAAAGCCAAAUAAAUAAAGAAGUUUCAAGGUUUGCAUGGUAAUCACAUUCAAAAACAGUUUUUUAUUCUUCAAAAUAAAAAAAUAAAGAAAAGGAAAAGAUGAUGGGUAACAAAAAAAAACCAUAAUGUUUUUAUAUAAUAUUUUUUAAUUAUCCUUAAUUAUUUUUAUUUAUUAAAAAUAAAACACUACAUAUAAAAAUUAUUUUUAAAAAUAUAUAUAUAUAAAAAAAAAAACAAGUUAAUAAUAUUCCAAAAAUUCUCAAUUAGACAUUUAUUAUAUAAAAUAUUAAUAAAACUGUUUUUUAAAAAUUAUAUUUUAGAAUUAUUUUAAAAAAUAGUUAUCAACCAUAACUUUAAUUUUUCUAACAAUUUGUUGUUAGAUUUUAAUUUCAAUUUAUCUCUCCAUAGCAUCCCAUAUUAGUUUUAUUUUUUACAUGCCACAUUUUUUUUACCUAUUAUUAAUUUAGUGUAUGAUUGGCUAGCUUUUAUUUAAAAAAAAAUUAUAACUGAAAUUUAAAAAUAAUUUUAAAAGUCAUAUUUAAUAAUGAUAAUGUGUUUUAACCUUUUUUAUUGUAAGAUUGUGAUAGUAGAACUUAAAAAAAUAAAGGUAUAAUUUUUUUUAAAUUCUCAAUUUUUUUAAAUUUGGAAAAUUAACACUCACACCCACUAACAUCUUAUUCUUAUUUACAAAACCAACUUUCUAUAAAUAUCAAAGAAUUGUCUAGACUUGUUAAAAAUCAAUAAAAAAAAUUAUAAAAAAAAAAGGUUUUUUCUCUAACUAUUCUCAUGCACAUAUCAAAUUGUAAGUGUAUUUAUAUAUUGGUAAUUCCGAAUCAAAAUUAUCAUUGUGUUUUUUAGCUCAUACUCUUCAAAUCCUCUUUUGGACUCUUGCCUUUUCCAAAUUUUUCGUAUUUGAAGAUGAGUAGAGGAGAUAGUAAGUGUUCUUGAGAUGUUGGUCAAUGGCAAAUAUGAAUCAAUCAUGUUUUAACCUUUUGUCAUUUUAUUGAAAAAUUGAGUGGUUACUUAAGAAGUGUAAAAUAUAAUGUUCAAAUCAUUUGAAUCGAUUUCUCAUCGAUCGAACUUAAGGGUAAUAGUCUUUACUAUAUACAGUUCUUUUAAUUCUUACCUAAUUGAUCAAACUUCAAUUACACUUGCAUUCCUUCAAUUUUUGCAAAUCAUUAUUAAUUGUUGGAUGGGUUUUAAAACUCUAAUACUUAAGUCCUCUUUCCAUUAGAGGAGACGAUUGGGAGAGUGAGAGAGCCCUAUUUUGAGCUUCAAGUUUUCUUACCAAAUUGGUGAAAGUGUUUGCCUUGAGAGAAAAUCAUUUGGGUUUAAGAUGAAAAUCAACUUUUGAGUGACAAAUUUUUGUUUCAAAUGGGUUGAUUCAUUGUGUUAUUCAUCCUUGCUUUCAUAUUCAACAUAUUUAGGGUAAAACUCAAGUUUCUUUUCAUGUGGAUUCAAUAAGAGACUGAGAUCAAAGCUUGGAAUAGAUUCCAAGUACUCUUCGAAAAAAGAAAGUCAGUAGUUGAAGCUUGAAGGUUCUAGGUUAGUGGUCUUGGAGAGGAUGGAAGGCUUGGGUUAGGUAUAUCCUUGUACUCGACUAAUUUUUCCUUCAUAGUGGAUAAUUUGAUUGCUUGAAGCCUAUGGUUUUUAUCUCUUUGAAAGUUUUCCAUGUUAAAAAAAUUGGUGUCAUUGUCUCUCUAUUAUAUCUUAUCAUUUUAUUAGUAUUUUAUUUGCUUAUGAUAUUUCCAUUGAGUUAUUUUGAUCAAUUAAUUAGUGCAUAUGCUAAAAUUAGAUCAUUAACGAUUUGAAAGAAUAUGAUAUAUUUUAGUUUUUGAGGAUCGAUGUCAAGUGACACGUGAAAAUAUGUUUAUGUGUUGAUGCAAUGUCUUAUAUAUCAUGUUUGGGGAGUGUUGAUUCAUUUGCAUGUGGCUUGCAUUGACUAACCUGUUGGAAGAGUGUUGGUGCAUGCAUUGUUACUUGAGAUUUCUUGUUUGUUAAUGGGAUUGAAAAAAAAAAUCAUGACAUUCGAGACAAAUAAGAGAAUUGUAAGCAUUUGUUAGAUAAAAUACCUAUUAACCCACCCUUUCUUUCUAGGUAUUUCUAUAGGUAAGAUUUAUCUUCACUAACAUUUUAAAUUUUAAAAAAGUUAAACAUACUAAAAAUGAGUAAUAUUUAUAAAAUUAAAAGCAUGAUUAAAAAUUAUCUAAUUUUAUUUCUGAAAAUAAUAAAAAGAAAAGUGUUACAAAAUGCACCUUAAUUUUAUUUCCUUUAUGCCUACACCCAUGCCUACAAAAUGCCUCCUCAUAUUCUAUUAAUUAAAGUUCAUUUAAUUGUUUUAAUAUAUUAAUUAGUUUUUAAGCUGUUAGAAUUGUAACAUUUUUGUAUCCAUCAUUCUAUAAAGACUGGCUUCUCUAAAUAUUUUCUAUUCAUAUUAGUUUUAUUUUCUUCUACAAUAUAAGGAAUAUUGAUCCAAACAUUGUUUAGCACAGUUUCGACCACCUCGGGUAUGGAGAAUUAGAGAAAAUGAGUCUCCUUUACAGUUAAAAGUCAUCAAAUUAGUGUCAAAUCUUACUGUUAACUCUAGUCAUGUUUUUUCUCCUCCUUGUAUAAUAAUUGUUCUUUAGCUUGAUAUUUUUGUUCUCGUUUGAGUUAUUUGUUUAUUUCCUAUACUAAAAUUAUUAUUUUUCUUUUCAAGUAGUAAGAGUAAAUUAGUUUUUUUUUUUCUUUUGAUUGUUAACCUAUUUAAACUCUAUUUGCGUUGUAUGUAUUUUUCAAGUGAUCAUAAUAAGAAACCCAAAACUUUCUUUUUAUGUCUUUGUCAAUGAUUCUUUUCAAUCUCACAUGGUAUUAGAGCAAGGUUAAUUUUAAUUGAACUUUUGAUUUAUGAUCUUAUUGAAAAGAGUUUAAUCUCAUAACAACUUUCAUGCGUAUGAGCUUGAACUUUUGCUUAUGGUUUGGAGUGGAGCCUCAAAAAAAAAUUUUGUCGCGUCUAAUCAUAGAUUGCAAUCACAAGUGGUCACAUUUGUUUUCCUAUUUAAUCAUGACAUUUGAUUUGUAUUUUUUUUCUUUGAUUCAUAUUUGUUUUUUUUUUUAUUUAGUAGUUAUUUGUUUUUUAUGCAUCAUGGUUGGUGAAAAAGAUGAUUUCCUUCAAUCUAUUAGUAUGAAAUUGAAUGGAAAAAAUUAUUCACACUAGAGUUAUGUGCUGAAAAAUUUUCCGAAGGCAAAAGGAUAUAAGGUUACAUUAUUGGCACUCUAUGCAAACCUAGGAAUGAAGAGGAUAAAAAAUAUGUAGAACAAUUAGACAUUGGGAAGGAAACAAUUUGAAAAUUAUCACUAAGAUCAACAACUCUAUUAAGAAUUCGACAGGUACAUAGUUGGUAAAGUAUGGAAUUGAUAAGGAGAUUUGAGAACAUUUUGAAAGAUUAUAUACAUAGUUUAAUUUUGUAAAACAAUAUUAGUUAGAGAUUGAUAUUCAAGCCCUUGAAUAGAAGAGCAUGAGCAUUAAGAAGUUCUAUUCUACAUGACUAAUCUUUAGGACCAAUUAACUCUUGUGGAAUCAGUAAAGCUCCUAGUUUUUUGCCGUAUAUUGAUCGUAUAGAGUAACAAUGGUUGGUUCAAUUUUUUAUGGGCCUUCAUAGUGAUUUUGAGGCAUUGUGUGGGAAUUUUGCAUUGUAGCCCACUUGUCUCUAUUGAUUCAAUGGUCAAUGAAUUGUUGGUUAAGGAGAUACAUCUUAAGUAUCAAAUACGAAAAGGAUUUCUCUCUACCCCUCAUACAUUUGGUUUGGUAGUACCUUCUAGGCCAUCUUCCAACAAUAAAAAAAAUUCUUACUCAAAUAGAUAAAUGUAGCUACUAUAAGUAGAAGGAUUAAUGGAAAGCUCCAAUGUCCUAAGAUCUUAAAUAUAACAGUGCUAAAACUACCUUCUCAAUAGUGCUAAAACUACCUUCUCAAUAGUCUCAAUAGAGUGAGACUAAUACCAGUUAAUAGUGUUCUUAUAGGUCUCCAUUGUCUAAUACUGCAACAAUUGUUCCUACAUCUAACUUGUUUGGAUUUGGACCUAUAAAAACCUCUAUUCCUACAAUAGCUACCUUUAUCAAAUAGUUCCAAAAGUUCCUCGCCAAACAACUACGUGUUCUAUCUACCUCUUUAGGUUUAUCAACCUCUAAUUCUUCAAGUAUGUUUUCCUCCAUAUUGGUCUUAGAAUCUAGACAUUCUCACCAUAUGUCACUUGAUUCUUUAUCUAUUGCUUUCUUAUAUCCUACAUUUUCUAUGUCUAUUAUAAUUGUCGAUGGCACUCUAAGGCCUUUAACUAGUGUUGGUUUUGUUAUUACACCUUAUUUCUUUCUUUCUAAUGUUUAUCAUAUUCCAAAUCUUACAAUGAAUCUUGUCUUUGUUGGUCAAUUGUAUGACUCUGGUUACUUAAUUUCUUUUUCUUCUACUUCUUGUUUUGUGUAGGAUCCCUAAUCCUAGAAGCUAAUUCGGAUAGCUUAUAGGAAAGAGGGAUUAUAUAUUCUAGACAAACUAAAAGUAUCAAUAGUUGUAGCUCCAAGUGUUGACUUUUCCUUUUUAUUUUCAUUUAAGUCCUUCAUCUAACUUUUAUUUUUGGCAUUCUCAUUUGGAACAUAUUUUGGCUUCUUGUUUAAAGUAUUUAGUUUCUACAGAAGCAUUAGGAAAUUUACAAAUACAAUAUAUUUCUUAUUGUAGUGGUUGUAAACUAGGAAAAUUUUGUAUUUUCCUGUUUUUUUGCACCAUUUGAUUUAGUUUAUUCUAAUGUGUGGGGGCCUUUGUCAAUUUUUACAAAAGGAAGGUCUCGACAUUAUGUUUUCUUUGUUAAUGAUUAUACACAUUAUUGUUAGGUUUAUUUUAUGAAACAUCGUUCUAAUUUUUUAAGUAUUUAUAAUACCCUUCAAGACUUUGUCAAAAUCCAACAUUCCGUUAUUAUCAAGUGCUUUUAAGUGUGAUUUGGGUAAAGAGUAUACUUUCAAUGCAUUUCAUGAAUUACUUGCUAGCUUCAUAUGGAACUAUUCACCAUACUUCUUAUAUUGAUGUUCCAAAGUAGAAUGGUGUUAUUGAGAAAAAACAAAGGCACAUUGUUGAAAUUAUUCAUUCUCUUUUAUUGUUUUCUUAUAUUCGUAUUAAAUUUUCAAGGAAGUAGUUCUACUACAAUUCACUUAAUUAAUAAAAUCUCCUCAUCUGAUACAUCUAUUUUGUCAUUGUUUGAAAAGUUGUAUGGUUAUUGUCUUGGUGUAAAGCAUAGUAAGCUAUCUUCCCAUUCUAUUAUUUUUGUUUUUCUAGGGUAUGGCAAAAGUAAGAAAAUGUAUUGUUGUUUUGAUCCAAUUAGCCAUAAAUUAUAUGUAUCUCGUCAUGUUUUCUUUCUUGAGCAUAAUGAUAGGAACCCUAGAUUUUUUCAUUCCCAAGCCCUGGAUUGUAUAAAUAUAUGCAAUCUACCUUAGGCCUUUAGAUCUUGUGCAACAAAAGUGCAAAAUAAAAAUUUUAACAAUUAAGGAUCUAGAUUAAAAGUUUUUUUUAAAAAAAAAAAACAAUACCUUUGAUUUGGAUGUUCCCAAAUCAAAUCCAUUUGAAGAUUGAAGAUCAAAUCUGAAACUAUUGAAAUUCUUGUACACCUAAGAUCUUCCGCCCAGUGGCUCUAACUUGAUCUUGACACUCCAAAGGUGGGUCUUUGGUAAAGGAGGAGGCUAUCACUCUCUUCUCUCUCUUUGGAAAUCGAAGGUAACUUACUCAAAAAAGAGAUGGAAACCUUAUGAAGACCCUUAAACCCCACAAACAUAACCUACAACCCACUUUUUCCACCUUCUCUCUCUUUAACUUUUUUUCUCUUAUUUCCCUCUACUAACCCAUACCCAUUGACAACCACUCUUUUCUCUGAUGACCAUUCUUUUCUCUCUCUCUUUCCUACCUCUCUUGUAGCCACUCUUUCUCUUUUCUUUUUUUCAUUUUUCUUCUUUUCUUUCUCUUUCUUCCUUUUUUUUUCCCCUUUUCUUUUGUUUAUUUUCCUCAUACCCACAUACACAUCUCUCACCUGUCUAUCCCAUGCCACUACUGCUGAUAAUGUCGGUGUCAGAUGCCAAUCACCGAUAGCCACCUCUUUCAACAAGCCACUCCCUUCUUUCUCCAUCUCAUUUUCUCUGUCUUUUAUUCUCUAUCUUUUCCCUUUUUCCCUCUUUCAUUUCUCUCUUCUUUCAUAGCUAUUUUUUUUUCUUCCUAUUCUUCUCUCAUCCCUUAGUCACACCAUGAACUGCUAGUCACACCACCACCAUGACAUAUCCACCAUGGCUACUACUCCACCUUGGUUUCAUUAUUCAAGAACAUGGUAAACCCCACCAUUUGAUCUUUAUGAUUUGUUUGGUAUAAUCGGAUUCUUUUUGUGGGCAUAGUUAUUUUGUUUGGACUUAGGCCUAUUGCAUUUUAGUUAUUUUAUUUUGACUUGGGCCUAUUGUAUAUUUGUUAUUGGUUUUUGUUUAUUUUGGGCUAGCAAUUAUUUAAUUUAAGCCUUUGUAAUUAUUCUCAUUAAGGUUUUUAUUUUGCAUUAGUCUAUCUUUGCAUGGAAUGUUUGAUAUUCUCACUAAAGGCUAUAUAAGGAGCAAAACCUUAAGGUUCAAGGAAAUGAGGUUGGAUAGUUCAUUAGAGGGAGAAGGACGAUUCUAUUUUCUUUUUUCUUUGUCAUUUUUUUUUUUUUUUUUUUUUUGUAUUCUUUGGUGAGAGAAUUUUCUGGUUUUGUACUAUUGGCACUUGGAAGCUUUGGAGAGUUUCAUUUGGGUACACUAUUUUCCUUCCUUUUAUUUGUUGUUUAUUGGUUAUUUAUUUAUUUCUUUUUUAGUAUCUUUUUUUUAGUUAUUUACACUCAAUUUGUAAAUAUUUGUUUAGUAUAUGAAAUUAUUAUUAAUUUGUCUUUUUCAUUUUUUUUAAUAUACGAGUUCAUUAUAUGGGUGAAUAAUGCACAAUGAUCUCCUUCAUACUAUGUUAAUUUUAUUUGUUUCAAUAUUCUACAUAUUUGCAUUAUUAUUUUUGUCUUUUUCUUUUUCUUUAGUAUACUUGCUUAUUGUAUGAAUGAAUUGAAUAAUGUAGAGAGAUCUCUUUCAUAUCAUGUUAAUUCUGUUUUUUUUUUUUUUUUUUUUUUUUAUGUUUUCAAGUUUGUUAUAAAAUAACACCCUAAAAUAUUUCAUUAAAUAAUUUAAACAUUUUUUAUAUAUAAAGUUGUAAAAAAAUUUCUUAAUAAAUUGUAAGACCUUUUCCAAAUGAAAACUACCCAAAUAUUUUCAUUAAAUAAAAAAAUGACCCAAAAAUUUAUUUUAAUAAAAAUAAGUUUAAAAACUUUCUUUUAAAAUAAAACAUGUCCAUGAUUUUUUAAUUAAAUAAAAAAAAAAGGUUUGUGUCACUUAAUCUACUCUAAAAUGGGUGUUAAUUGAUUAAUUAAUUCAAUAGGGUUAUCUAAUUAAUCAAUCAGUCCAAUCCAAAUGUUUUGUUCACUAACCUCUAUGCAACCUCUCAUACUUACCAAAACGCUCUUAUGCACAAAUAUGAACCUAAAGCUAAUCCAAUCCUCAUAAAUUGUCUCAUCAAGUAUGAGCUUGAUUGGGGACCACUAAGACCCAUAGGAGUACUAGCUUCUUCAGAAUCCAAUUUUGAAGUUAAUUUAACAUCAUAUUAGGAUAGAACCCUUAAAAGCAUGACAUAAUGUAAUAAACUCUUGAAUUUUAUUAUUUUUUAAUAAAGUUCUAGUUCACUUUUAUCUAUCUUAUUUCUAUGCAUUAUAUCUUUUAAGCACUUUGUUCUGCAUAUUUUGUAUUGUACAUGACUUUGGUGCAUUAGGAGUUACACGAAAGAUCCAAGUCACAAGUUGUUUGCAAAUAGAUGACUUGUUUACAAUUGGUUCGUGGGUUAAGCAACUCGUUAAAGGUUGUAGCAUACCACUUCCGAAUUAGAGGGAUGGUUGGUCUUGGCUAUUAGGAUGAGUUUCCCAUGGUGAGUGCGCUAGUGUGUAUGGUUACACAUUGGACAAGACUUACGGUGAGUCAUGACUUAAGGUUAUAAAGUAGUCAUGACUUCACCAAGUUUCUUCAUUGUGUUGUCUCUCUCAACCUUGAAAUAAUAUUGAGUUUGUGCUAAAGUUGGUAAUGACUCUAACUUACAGGUGAAAUCAUAAGUUGAUCAUAUAUUCCCUAUAGAUUGGAUCAUUAUUAAUGGGAGUUGGUAGCAACAGUUAUAUUCUUAAUAGAGGCACCAUGAUAUCUCUUGGAUUAAGACAAUGUGUCCCCUUGGGUGAUGUUAAGGAGAUGUGUUCAUGGAAAUUAUGGUCACAAUAGUUCCUUAAGUGGAACUUGACAAGGAGGAUCUUUAACUUAAGGAUAGUAGAGGUAGUCUUGAAGGGUUAAUAGUUUUCCACUGUUAAACUAUAAACACCAGUUCAUGAGAAGAUUGAAUGCAAUGGAUAGCGGGUUACAGACCCGAACACAUGCUCUCUCAUUGUUAUUUACAUAGGAUACUAGAGUUCGAUUGAUUCUUUGCAGUGGGAUGUUGAAUCAACUUCGGAAUUGGAUUAUAAGGGUGCUAGUGCUCCUAUAGGUCCUAAUGGUCCCCACUUUGAGCUCAUAUACCUUAUUGCCAUUAGUUAUGAGAGUUAGAUUAGUUCUAGGUUCACUUUUGUGCAUAAGGGUGUUUUGAUAAUUAUAUAAAGUUUCACAUGGGUAAGUGAACAAUGUCUCUGAAUUAGGUUAAUUAAUUAAUUACUAGGCCCUAUUGGGUUAAUUAAUCAAUUAAGACUCAUUUUAGGCUAGAUUAAGUGACCCAAACCCUUAGUGGGCUCAAGUCACAUAAGCCUAGUAGGGAAUCCUAUAAAUACUCUUUUAGGGUUAGGGUUUCCACAACAUUUUCUAGAAAGUCAUCUUCCACCUCUAGAGAGAGAGAAAGAACCACAACCUUCAUCAUUUCUUCCAUCCCUACCAAAAGUGUGUCAAGAUCAAGGUUCGAGUCAUUAGAAGGAAUACUUCGGGUUUACGAGACCUUACGAUUUCAUCAUUUAUCUUCACUGCGUGGAUUUAAUUCAAGAACAAUCGAAUUUGAGGUAUGGUUUUCAUUAUCACUUUCUGAAUCCCUAUUCAUACUCUUAUUUUAGUUGCCUCUAUUCAUUAGUGGCACAUAUCUAAGAUGGAUGUUAAAAAUGUCUUAUUUAAUGGUGAUCUUUAAGAAGAAAUCUACAUGGUACCCUCUCCAAGUGUUUCUCAUAAUCCUGGAGAAGUGUGCAAGCUCAAUAAAGUUUUAUAUGGUCUCAAACAAGCACCUUGUGCUUGGUUUGCAAAAUUGUCUAAUGUACUCACUUCUCUUAGCUUUGAUCCCAAUCGUCAUGAUCAUGUACUCUUUCUAAAGAGUACCACUACUAAUUGUAUUUUACUUUACCACCGCUAGUCAUAUUUUACUUUCUUCAUAGGAUGACAUGAUGACUAUAGGUGACAAUAUUGAUGAGAUUACAAUGUUGAAAUUAGCUUCGGCUUCCUAUUUUUAAAUAAAGAAUUUGAGCUCUUUAUGAUACUUUUUGGAUGGUAAGGUAGUUUCUUCUCUAAAAGGUUAUCUUCUCUUGUAGUCUAAGUACACAAUUGAUAUUCUCAAUCAUGCCCGCCUUACUAAUACUAAUAAUGUUAAUACUCCUCUUUAGGUUAAUAUUUAGUAUUCUUUUUUUUUUUUUUAUGUUAACCCUUUGUUAGAUCCUACUUUAUAUAUAUUAUACUAUUGUUGACAACUUGGUUUAUCUCACCAUUACAUGUUUGGACAUUGCUUAUGUUGUUCACAUUUAUGAAACCAAGGUUUGGUUAAUUUUAGUUUUGAUAAUAACAAAAUAUGGUUCAGAACUAGUAGUUUAUUCUAAGUAUGUUUAAGUAAGAUGAUUUCCAAAGUGACAAUCAAAAAAACAAAAUAAGGCAAAAGCAAAUUAAGAAAAGGAAGAGGACCUCAAAGAGAAGAUCAAUCAAGACCUUUCUAUAUGAUCUCUUUAUAAGGUUGUUGGUGCACUAAGUUCAAAUUGCAUUACAACUUUUCUUUUAGCACCUAAUCCAAGUGUCUGAAUAAUUUUUUUAAAAAAAUUUAUAAAUUGGAUAAAGAAUUUUUCUAAAUGAAAACCGUCAUUGAUUAAUGUUUUUCAUAGUUAGAAAAGGUUUCCAAAUUGGUAAGGAGUUAUCUAGCCAAAUUUCCCUUAAGAUUUUAUGUUAAAGAUACAAAAAUUGCAAAAACUAUAGAAUUUAUUUAUACAUCUUUGAGUGAUUUUUAUAAAAAUUGAGAUUGAUUGUUUCAAGAAACAAAAUUUCAUGUUUUGACAUGCAUUUCAUCAUUAAAAAGGGUUUUUCAAUAUGAAGUUUUCAUAUUGAAAUAAUCAGUUGUUAAAGGCCAUUUGUGCAUAUUUUCUUUUUUCUUUUUUCUUUUUUUUUUACUUAUGGUUAACCGAAAGGUGGAUCGAUUGAACCAAUAGGUUAAUCUAUUAAACUAAGAGGCCAACCAAUUCUGGAAAGUUUUCAAAUUGGUAAAAGAUUGUCUUAACCGGUUAAGGUGUAACCUUGACUGGUCGAGGUACUGGUUGAGUCGAUUGCUUGACUUAUCAAGCUCUUGUGACCUAAAGGUCACUUUUUGUACCUUUUUCCACCUAAAGGCUAGUAGUCCAUUUGACCAGUUGGUCAACUAGAUGACCUCAAACUGUACCUAAAGACUAAUUUAGGUUUCAAACUCUUAUAAAAGUUUCCAAACUUUAUUAUUUAGUAAGCUUAAAAUUUCAAAAUCUUUCUUAAAUAUUUUUUAGCUUUGGGAGAGUGUUUUUUUAGUGCACUUUGCUUUAAAAUCAUAUAUCCAUUUAUGCACCUCGGUCUUAGUUUAUCUUAUAUUUAUUUAAGUUUAAACUUGUACUAGGAUUUUAUGAGUUUAAUUCUCAAUCAUUUCUUGUAACCUUUAUGAGGUGAGAUCAAGUAUAAGGUAUCACUUGAGGGAAAAAUUUAAGGUAUCACUUAGUGUUUGCCAAUUGUUGAUUAUCACUUGGAGAGUUCAAGAGUGAGUCAUCUCUUGAAGAAAUUGUGAGUGCCAAUUGAAGCUAAUCAACCUAAUUGUAAUGCUUGGAGGCUUCUAUUAGAAGCCUUGGAUUAGUGGAACCUUCACUUGGUUAGGAGCUUGAGGAAAGUAUAUGUAAACUGAGUUGCAUCAAACCACUAUAAAAAUCUUGAAUUUGCAUUUUUUUUUUUCCCUACUCUCUUUAUUUUAUAUGAAAUUGCUUUUUAUUGUAUUUAUUACACAAUUGCACAUCUUUGUUACUUGCAUUCUUAUAGUUUAAAUUUUCAAAAGGUGGUCAUCACCCCCAUUCACCCCUCUUUGGUGAUUACCUUGGGUUGAUAUAGCUAAAAUCCUAACAACAUUGCUAUUCAAUUUGUUAGUUAUUCUACUACAAUUCAUUAGACUAUUGCUCUUUGUAUUAUGCAAUAUCUCUAAGGCACUCCAUUUUAAAGUUUUUUACUUUUUUCCACUUCCUUUCUAGAUUUGUGUGCAUAUUUUGAUGUUGAUUGGGUCAGUGAUUCUAAAUAUUACAAGUCUAUCAUUGAAUUUUGUAUAUUUUUAGAGGAUUUUCUUAUUUCUUGGAAUAACAAAAAAUAGACUUUCAUUUCUCAAUCUUCUAUAGUAAGUAUUGUGUUAUGAUAUCUACCACUAGUGAAAUAGUUUGGUUACAUUGGUUACUUGUUGAUAUGAGUGUUUCUCUUUUUCAUGUCACUCUUAUGUAUUGUGACAACAAGACUAUUAUUCAAAUUGCUCACAAUUUUGUUUAUCAUGGAAGGACCAAACUACUAAGAUUGAUUAUCACCUCACUCGUCAUCACUUCAACAUAACAUUCUUACUUUGUCUUUUAUUCCUUCUUCCUUACGAAUUCCAAAUCUGUAUAUCAAGUCAUAAUCAUUUCUACAUUUUCAAUUUUCGAUGGGCAAACUCUCAAUGCUUCUUGCAGCCGCAUCAUGAACUUGUUGGGGAAGGUUGGAAUUAUUUAUUUGUCAUGGUUAUUUAUUGUCUAUAUUAGAAUUAUUAUCUUUCCUUUUGGGAGUAAGGGUAAAAUAGUCAUUUUUCUUUUUAAAUUUCUUUUAAUUGUAAGUCCAUUUAAACUAUAUUUAUGUUAUAUCUAUUUUUCAAUUGAUAAUAAUAAGAAAUCCUACUUUUCUUUUCUACCUUUGUCUAUUGUUCUUUUGAAUCUCACAGUUUUUGCAUCUUCCUUAAAUUUCAUUGUGUGGCAUUAAUUUGGUCAUCCCCUCGGUUAAGGCUCUUAGUGAGGUCUUAAAAGUGUGGAAUUCUUUACUACUUGUACAUACAUAUUCACUUUGAUAUUCGUGAGACAAUAUUUUAUAUAUAUAUCACUACCCUAAGUAUUUUUUUUAUUUUGCUAUUUUCAAUUUUAUAAGAGCAUAAAUUACAUUGUAAUCAAUGUAAGUCCAAAGGGUUUUAAAAAAGUUAAAAGUAAUAUUUAAAAAUCCAACACAACUUUGAAGUAUAUUUUGAUAAAACUCUUAUAUGAUCCAUAUUUUUAUUUGCAUUUUAACCGAAUAGAAAAAUUCAAAUUUUACCCAAAAACAUAAUAAGUUAAAUAUAUUUUUGAAUUAUUUGAUUAAAAGGGACAAUAUCAUUUUCAAUUUGUAAAAUUAAGUGGGUGUUUGGUAAACCAAUUUGAUAACUUAAUUUUAAGUUAUUAAGUAAAUUAAGUACAUUUGGUAAAAUAACUUUAUAGUAUAACUUAUAAAGUAAAAAACAAUUUUAAAUAAUAAAUAAAAAUAAUUAAUUUAUUCUUAAGUCACAUCUUCAUUUUACAUUUCUAUCACGUUUGCCCUCAUUACCACUACGAUUUUUUUUUACUAUUCCAGGAUCUCCAUUAUUACUCGAUCUCCUUUAUUCUAAUUAUAAUUUAUGAAGAUAAAUACGUUAAUUUAAUAAUUUAAAAUAAAUCUUAAGUUAAUUUUAUCAAACAACCUUAAUACUUAAAAUAAGAAUUAAAUAAGAAGUUUUAAAUUAACAACUUAAGCAUAAUUUAACUUAAAGUCAAUUUAACUCAUUAAAUAAUAAGUAUUAAGUUUUACCAAAUACCUCAUAAUUCUCCAUUUUUUUAACUUAAAAAAAUUGAUAUUAGACAAAAACAUCCUCACUUUCUUUUUUUAAAACAUAUAAAUAAUAAAAAAAAUGAAGGGUAUUUAUAUUAAAAAUGAAUUAUUCUUCAAAUUCAAAAAAUGAGAAAGAUUAAUUUUUCAAAUUUAUAGUCUUUUCAUUUAUUUUGAUCAAUUAAUCCAAUAAAUCUUUAUUUGAUUAAUUUUUUAAAAAAAUAAUGUUUUUUAAAAUAUAUUUUCCAAGCAUAAAUUUAAUUUUACAACAGAGAUUAUUUUUAUUUUAAUAUUUUCUAUAUUAAAUAAACCGGUCAAAAGAUAUAUAUAUAUAUUAGUUCCGAAGUCUAAUCAUAGAGAUAAAUUAGUUGUGAAGUCUAAUCAUAAUUGAGUUACGACAAGGCAGCAAAAUUAUAGAGACAAAUUGCCGGCAUUGAAAUGUAAUGUGUAAGCUGUUUUUCGGUGUAGAAGACAUGUGGUGAAGCUGCAUUUAGAUGGUGAUGUGUUAUUGGACAUCCCAUUUUAUAAAUAUAUCUUACUCUAAUUUUUAAAUUAAUUUUUUUCAAACUAUACUAUAUAAUAUUCUUAAGUUGUCACGGAACAUGGAAACUUAUAUACUCUUUAACAUAUGAAAGUUUGAAACAAUAAUUAAAUUAUGAUACCAUGUGAAAUGUUGUAUAUUAUUAUCUUACAUUCAAAAAAAAAUGCCGCCCCUAAAUUCAACAAAAUUUAGGAUGGACAAGUGAUAGAUCAUACACAUAUUUGACACAUAUCAUAUUUUAAAAAAGUGACGGGUAACAAAAUUUGGAAAGUUACAAAAUUUAAUCUUACAAAUAAAAUUAAAUUCUCCAAUUGUUAUCAAAAGAGAAUUAAAAAAUAAAUAAAUAUUCUCUCAGCAACAAAUUUAGAAAUAAAUAUUCUCAUUGAAAUCAAAAGAGAAUAAAAAAAUAAUGAUUAAAUUUUGGGAAAUUCAAAAAUUCAAUCAAGAAAAUAUUUGCAUUGUCAUUUUCCAAAUUGUGAUCAUCAUAAAACAAUCAAAAGGAUAUAUUCUUUUGCAAAAAAAAAAUAUUAUCAUAAAUAUGAUGUUCCACAAUUUAUCAAUUUUAAUAAAAUUCAUAUCACAUUAUUUUUCAUAUUGUUUUACUUACAUUGUAGGACUUUCGUAAAAUUUGUGCGUAUAAUUUGAUUUUAUUAUUUUAUAUUCAACUUAUGUCCUAUUACUUUACAUUUAAAUUUUAUUUUAUAUAUUUAUUUAUAUAAUGAUCCAACAACCUAGAUUUCAUUAUAUACUUUUAACGAUUGAGAUCAUAAGUUCGGUAAUGAUCGAACAGUACCUAAAAUUUUGCAUAUUUAUAUUAUAUAAUAUGAUAUGAUUUGCUAUAUAUUACCAUGAUAUCCUUAUGGCAUUGAAUAAACAAGGGAACUUGAAACCAGUAUACAUAGGAAGUUAGGACAAAAGACAUUAUCAAUAUGACAAUAUCUAAUCAACCAUUUUCUUUCUGACCCACAAGGAUGCCAUUGUGAAGUCAAAUUAAUUUGAAAUGAUAUGUGGAAAGGCAUUGAAAUGGCCAUUUGGGGAUGGGUGAUCUGUGAGGAAAACAACUUUGUCACAUCAAUGGAUAACCCUCUAGAAUGAAAUGGAAGAUGAUGAAUUUUUCAAAGCAAUUUGGCACCUAACAUCUUGAUCAUGUCUCUGCAUCUUUAUUAUUCAAUGACUUCGGCCGACCUACUUGACCUUGGUCUUGUUUAAAACAUGAUGUAAAUGAAAAAGGGAGGAAAAAGGAUAUUAUAUUUUGUCUACCUGCCUUUGGUCUCAUUAAAUGCUUUUAGUGUAUGACUUCCAAGUUUAGUUUAUGUUUAUUAUUGCUUUCUUGACUAUUUGGAAAUAGAACAAUAUAUACUACCAUUACCUAAUGCAAUCAUACCUAAUUCUCAUUUGUAUGAUGGGUUAAGAAUAAUCAAUAUAUUGUUAAUUAUGCAUUUAUACUAGAAAUUAACUGCUUCGUCCCCUUGACUUACUUGUGGCUUUUUGAUUCAAUCCUUUCCUGAUACAUUAUUUAAGUUUAAACUAUCAUUUUAAUUUUAAUUAAAUAAUAAAAUUUGAAUUUCCACCCUAUUUCAUAAUUGAAUGUCCAAAUUACAUGCUUUCAUGAAACAAUCGGAUAGGGAUGCUAUUUUCCAUACCUGGCUAGUAGUUUUUCUAAUGGCGUCUUAAAAUUUAUGGGUAGAAUUAUACUGAUCUUUGGAGGUUGAGACGGUGGAUUGAACUGGCAUCCACGCUAUGCGGUUUUGUACAUCUAACAUGUGAUAUCCCAUAUAAAAAUGAGUUUUUCUUAAUUUUGUAGAUGCAUUUUAAAAUUGUAAGAGUCCCUUUAAGUUUAAAGUGAACAAUGAAUGUGAAGCAUUUGUUUGUUUGACCUUAUGAGGAGUGUCUAUCUACAUGGCACCAUAAUCUUAUAGGACACAACGAGAAUAUUAUGUCUCUAUAAGGGUGAUUGUGAUAUCUCACAUUAGAUAUGGGAAAAAGUUUUUGAUAUUGUAUAAAUAUAGACUGCUCUUAACCUUAUAUACUCGUUUUAAAGUUGCAAAGACCCCUUUAGGUCAAAAGCUGACAAUAUCUACAUAAUUGAAUGUAAAUCGUUGUAUAAUUCUGUUAUACCAUCUCUAUCUUCACAAAACCAAUUCUCCAUAUUGAAAGGAAUAUUUCCCCUACGUAGCUAAUUAGUGUCUCUAAGAACCAUUCCUUUGUAGAAAUAUUUUUAAUAUAAUGGGAUACAUUAUAGAAAAUUGAUUUUCUACAAAAACAUCUAUCAAGUGCCAAUGUAAACGUUAUUUCAAGUUAUUUUCUAGAUUUUUAAAUCUUUAUUAAACAUUAGAAAAAUCUUCUAAUCGCCUCAUAAUGAACCUAUUAGUGAAUUCUAACCUUGGCUCUCAUCCAUGAAUAACUAAAUUAAAAAUAAAUAACAUGUCAAACGAGCCUUUAAAGAUGAAAAGUUGACCAAAAGAAAAAGGAGCAUUAAUUAAAAUAGUUGCAGUUUUAAUCAUAAACACAAUUGUUGUUGAAACAUGGAUGAAUUUCAAGUUGUUGCUUUUGGAUUUUGGGAGGCAUUCCAUCACAAAAUCAAUGUUAUGUAGUUUUGUACAUUCAGCAUGUAACAUCCCACAUCAGAUAAGGAAAAAAAUUAUUGAUGCUUUAUAAAUAUGGACCCUCUUAAUUUUGUAAAUGUCUUGUAAAGUUGUAACAAUCCCUUUAGGUUCAAAGUAAAUAAUAUUUAUAUGGUUAGGUGUGAGCCAUUACAAAUGAUAUCAAAGUUGAUCUCUAACCGAAGUGUCUGUUUGUAUAACCUCUCAAUCCCAUGAGAUAUAACUAGGACAUUGUACUUGCAUGAAAGGGGGUAAUUAUGAUAUCUUACAUCUAACUAUAUAAGUAUGGACUCCUCAAUAUUACACAUUUUGUUAGACCAUCUCAUGUCUUCACAAAACCAAUUCUCCACAUUGAAAAGAAUAUUUCCCCGCACCUAAUUAGUGUCUCUAAGAGUCAUUCCUUUGUGAAAAUAUUUUUAUUAUAAUAGGAUACAUGAUAGAAAAAUGAUUUUCUACAAAAACAUCUAUCAAGUGCCAAUAUAAACAUUAUUUUAAGUUAUUUUCUAGAUUUUUAAAUCUUUGUUAAACAUUAGAAAAAUCUUCUAAUCACCCCAUAAUGGACCUAUUAGUGAAUUCUAACCUUGGCUCUCUUCCUUGAACAACUAAAUUAGAAAUAAAUAACAUGUCAAACAAGUCUUUAUAAUAAUUACAAUUUCAAGCAUAAACACAAUUGUUGGUGAAACAUCGAUGAAUUACAGGUUGAUGUUUUAAUACAAAUAUGGAUGUUUAUCUAUAAUAAUGAAAAACAAAAUAAGAAAUGAGUUGCUUACAAACUAAACAAUAAUAUUAUGAUAAAUGAAAAGAGACGAAAAAAUGAAGUACAGUGAAUUCCAAGUCCGAUUGAGGAGGAAGUUGCUUCACCAAGGUUGGGGGGAGUUAGUCUAUCGAGAGACAUAACUUAGGGAUGAGUACGUAUUCACUCACCUAGUCUUAAAUGGAAUGAGUAGUGAAAAUUUUUGAAUGAUUAAGUUGGGCAUUAAAUUAUUACUUCUUAAGUUGCUUUAAUAGAAUAAGAGAGUGGAUAUUAUAUCAUAUUCCAUAUUUGGUUGGUGAUUUAUCUCAUGACUUGUGUUAUCCUAUGUUCAAUCAAACAUGGGAUAUGAUAAGUGGUGAGAUAUAUUAUCCACCUAUUUUUUUAUCCCUUCUACAUGGCAUAGGUUAAUUUCAUGUUAAAAUAUAUAAGAUAUACAUAUCUCAUGUAUCAUAAAUUUAUUUUUAUCAAUUUUUUUUUAUAUACUCAUUUUGAAAAAUAAAACUUUUUAUUAUAAAUUAAAUUUAUGGUUAAAAAUUAAAAAUUAAAAACAUAUUUAUAAAAUAAUAUUAAUAUAUGAAAUAUAAAUUAUUUUUAUAUAUUAAAUAAUAUAAUAUAAAAAAAUUUAUUUGUAAAUUUUAAAUAUUUUAAUUAUGAAUAUUAUUAAGCAUAAGAGAAAUUUUAUUUUUUAAAAAUAAAAAAAUAUUAGAAUGUGAUAUAAUUUUUAUUUUAAACAUUGAAAAUAAUGUAAAUUUCAUAUUAUUUUUUAUUCAUUUCACAAAUUAAAUAUAAACAUAAUAUAAUAUAACAUAUUUAAUUAAAUAUACUACCUUAAAAUAUCAUAUUCAUAGAAUAAGUAAAUCCAAGGAUAUCAUAUGUCAUUGGAAAUCAUAUCUUAGGAUAUGUAUUUCUUUUCUAAUAGGAUAUGAUAUUUUAGUAUAUACAUAUCUUAUCAUAUCAUAUCCCGCCAAACAAACAGUCUUAUAGUAUUAGGUGAGAUCUUGCAUGCUCUAAGUUUCUUGUCUCUUGUUUAGCUUAGAUUACUUGAAAGCUAAACCUUUAAGAACAUACAAAUUUUAAGAGUCAACCAGUUUUUUUCAUCUAUAGUAAAUUAACAUUGAGUAGAAGAGAUAUCACAUUCUUUAACAUGUUCUUCAAUCAUAAAUAAUAAUUAGGAAAUUAUAUUAUAUGAUAUGAUGUUAUAUGUCCUUAUCAUACAAGAUAUAUGUUAAAUAAUAGGGUAUUAUAUGAUAAAUAUAAUAUUUGCAAUUAUACCGGGUAUUAUUAUAAUUAUUUUUAUCAUGAGUAAGAGAAAUGUUUGUUAAAUAAUGAUGGAUAAAAACGUAUACCAUAUAUUUUUUAAAUUUUUUUUAUAAAUGAACAUGAUUUGAUUUUUUGUAUUAUCAUUAUGUAUUAUAUAACAUGUAUGUGAAAUAAUAAUAAUAAUAAUAAUAUUGUAUAUUACAUAUCAUAUACAAUGUUACUCAUUGUAUAUUAUAUACGGGGUUCAAGAAAAAAAGUGUGUUUUCAAACACUCGUAAAAAUAAUUAUAAAAUAGAAAUCUUCUAAAAAUAAUUUAAGUUUUAUGCACUCAGCGGUCAAAUAUAGUACCUAAGAUAAAAUAUAGUACUUAUGUCAUAAAAAAGUAAUACUUGAAUGAUCAAAGAUAGUACCUUUGAUAAAAAAAAAUAUAUGAAAUAUUAAUUAUUUUUUUAACAGCUUAAAAUUUGUAUUUUACAAAUUCGAAUUUCUAUUUUAUGAUUUUUUUUUUCAUACGGGUGUAUGAAAAUCCUAUUUUAUAUUUUCCUAUACUAUAUAUGCUAUUAAUAUGUCUUAUACAAUAUCACAAUAUAUCAAAUAAAUGUGAUAUAUAAGAGAUAUUAAAUAAAUAUUAUUAUAUAUCACAUGAUUUUAUGUUAUAAUAUGAAUUAUAAUAUUUGUAAUUAUGUGUAUGGUAUAUGUUGUUUAAUUAAGUAUAGCAUAAAUCACAAUUUUUAACAUUCAUUCUUGCCUGCUCUUUUCUUGAACAUGAUGGGCUUGAUGGGCUCACUCCCACUUCCACUACUUGGGCCUGCCCAAAUGAACCCCUUUUUCCUUUGUAGACCAGACCAACUCUGACCCAAUGUAAAAAGACAUAUUUCCCACUACUGCUCUUCAUUAAGCAUCUUAGAAACAUGUAUGUUUCCAACAUGCAUUUUUUAGUAUAAAUAAAAAAAUAAUCAACUUAUACUAAAUUGUAAUGAAAUUCUGGGUAAAGAAUUUUUCACUUUAUCCUUGUUAUUGAAUAGGAAUUUUUAGAAGCUUUACUUUUUCUUUUCAAAAAUUUAAGAUUAAUCUUAUUUUUUAGAAGAAAAAAAGGGGAUUUAGGGAAAUUGGGACAGUUGUGAAGAUUAUGUAAUUGAAAUUAUGUUAGUACUUCAAGAUAAUAUUAAGGUUACGUUUGGUUAAACUUAAUAUUUAUUAUUUAAUAACUUAAAUUAAUUUUAAGUUGUUGACUUAAAAUUUAUUACCUAAUUUUUAUUUUAAGUAUUAAAAUUGUUUGAUAAAAUUAGCUUAAAAUUUAUUUUAAAUUAUUUAAAUAUUUGUCUUAUAAAUUGUGAUUAGGACGAAGGAGGUUGAGUAAGGAGCACAAGUUAAAGCAAUAGUAAUAAAGUGUAGCAAAUGGUUCCAUCUUGUUUUUGGCCCCACUAAAUGGCAUGUAGUUGCAACCGUAAAUUAUUCACUUUUUUCUAUUUUUCUUUUUUAAUUUUCCCAAAUGUAAAAAAAAAAAAAAAAAAAUCGAGAGAAAAAAUUUAAAAAGAAAAAAGAAAAAAGUGAAUAAUAAUAAAAAUAAAUUUAAAAUCAAUAAAUUAUUUUUAUAUAUUAUUUCAUACUUAUUUAGCUUAUUUUAACUUUGGAUAUAAAAAUUAAAUAAUUCGAAAAAUAUAUAAGUUUCUAAUUAAUUUUAAUUAUAUUUUAUUUUCCUUCAUAUUUUUCACGAUACCAUCAAAUAUGCGAAAAAUAUUUUCCUUAAUAUUUUUUUUCUUUCCUUAUUAUUUUCCAAGUAUCAAAUAUAAGGUAAAGGAAAAUUGACAUUCUAAGAUUUUAUUUGGUUAGAAAAUAAUUUCUAAUUUCUAUUUUUAUUUUUAAAACUUAUUCUAUUUUUCAUUUUUAUAUUUAGAGAAUUAAAAAAAAAUUAAUAAUUUUUUUAAAUGUUAUUGGUAUUGAUUUUUAUUACAUAAAAAACGGUAAUAACAUUAUAUUUAUUCAUUUUCUUUAUUUUUAUUUUAAAAUAAAUGAAAUAAAACUUUUAGUAUAUUUGUAAUUAAUGAACAAAAUAUUAGGGAUGCUGGUUAAAACUUAUUAUUUAUUACUUAACCACUUAAGUUGAUUUUAAGUUAAAUUAUAUUUAAGUUAUAGACUUAAAACUUAUCAUUUAAUUCUUACUUAAAAUAUUAAAGUUGUUUGAUAAAAUUAAAUCAAAGCUUAUUCUAAAUUAUCAAAUUGACAUAUUUAUCUUUAUAAAUUAUGAUUAGAGCAAAAAAAAGUCAAGUAAUUAUGGAGGUCAUGAAAUAGUAAAGGAGAUUAUAGAGGUUAUUAGGAUAAAUAAAAUAAAAAUAUAAAAUAAAGAUGUGGACUUAAAAAUAAAUUAAUUGUUUUUACUUAUUACUUAAAAUUAUUGUCUUAUCAUAAAUCAAACCAUUAAGUUAUUUUACCAAAUAUACUUAAUGACUUAAAUUAAGUUAUUAUGUCACCUUAAGUUAUUAAGUUGUUUAUCAAAUACCCGCUGGUCUCUAAUAUUAAAUAUAUAUUGAUAUAAUUUAAAGUAAUAACAAUAUUUAUAAAAUAAUAUUUGAAUCCAAAACUUGGAUCAUUCAAAAAAAUAUUUUCCAAUUUUCUUAACCAAGUUCUAGAUUGCUUUUAACAAACUUCGAGUUUUUCUCGCUUCUUACCUUUUCUUGAUUCAUGAUAAUAGAAAGGACAAAAAAGAUGUCCUAACAUAUUUCCAAACUUAAUUUUAAUUUCUUUAAAAAAUAAAAAAUCUAGUCUGAAGUCUUUGAAUAUACAGAGAAUAUUUAGGCUUUGAAAGUGUUCACACGUUCAUUUUUUAUUUUAUUUUUUAUUAAAAAAAUUAGGAAAUACCUUUUCUAUCAUGUUAAACAUAAGGAAGGAAACAACAUUACUUAAAAUAUUCUAUAAAAUCUAUAAUAUAAAAAUAAUUAUAAUAUAAUGCAAAUAUAAAUAUUUUUUUAUAAGUAAAUUUUGUCUUUUUUUGAGACUUGUCAAAGUUCAUAGGCGUAUUUUACGAAGCAAAUGAACGUACUCGUGAGGGAAAACGAAAAUGAAAAAUUUUAAAAUAAUUAAUAAAUAAAAUAUUUCAAAAUCAAUAGUAAGAUGAAUGAAUUGUCGAAAUAUAAGAGUUGAUUUGAAUGUCCGCACUUAGAAGUGACAUAAUAAAAAUUCCUUAUACCAAUAGAAAUUCAACAUUAAAUAAUAUUUUAUGGAUUAAUAAAAUAUAAAAGCGAUAUUAUUAUUAUUAUUAUUGAAGAAUUGACUUUGUUGGAUGGAGAAAAAAGUGUGUUCAAAGUAGAAUGGAAAUGUAGGUUUAGAAAAUUUGUAAGUUGGAGUGAGGUAGAGUUUUUAAGUAAUUGGUGUAAAUGGAAUAUUUUUUCACUAAAAUUAGUUGUUAAUUUGAUUUGAAAAAAAAAAAAGAAAAAGGAAAGGCCUCUCUCUAUAUAAAACAAGUAGUCCGUAGGUAUAUAGGAAACAGAGCUCACGUGGUCACAGGCUUCCAAACCCAAAAUAAGAAAAGAAUCUCUCCCUAAUAUCAUUAUCUCUCCUCUCUUCUCUCUUCUCUCUUCGGCCGCAGGUCUCCGAUGGCGCCGUUGACUCAGUCUGUCCUCAGCCUCCUCUCCGCCGCUUUCCUCCUUGGCUUCCUCUCUGAUCCGGCCGCUGCUCGUCCCUGCAAAACCCUUUUCAUCUCCUCCUACUCCGUAUCCUUCCACCCCAAUUUCCCCGAUCAAAAUAACCCUAACUCCGCAGGCACCGCCGGAAUUCUCACGAUUUUCACUGAGAUCCGGCAAUUUAACCCCCGUCCGCCGCUCACCUUCGUCGACGCCGUCGAGGAUCAGCACCCGAUCGAGCGUCCGCCGCGAUUUGGCCUCGGUCUAGGGUUCGACUCCGACUCCCUCCGCGACCGCACCAAGGACGUGCUCAGCGUUGUUGUGGCGCUGCUCUUCGGCGUCGGCUGUGGCGCUCUCACCGCCGCAACCAUGUACUUGGGUUGGUCGCUCUUCUCCAACCGCCACCGCUACUCCGACUUCGAUUACGAUGACUUUGAGGAUGAUGACGUUGACAUGAGCCCUAAGAAGGUGGGCUAUGUGAGGAU